GGAAAACAUGCUGCAAAUUCGAAGAUGGUGGUGUCUUGUUCUCCUGCAGAACUUCCCCAUGCCAUCUGAAGAAGAGAUAGCAGCAAAGAAAAAGGCAACGAGAGCAGAAAAAACUACAGCUGGGCGUCUCCCUGCCUUAUCGUGCAGAAGUCAGACAAGUCACCACGCAUGUGCACAGACUUCCAUAAAGUUAAUGCGGUAACAAACCUGACUCAUUUCCAUUGCCAAGAGUUGAGGACUGUGUUGACCAAGUCAGAAGUGCUCAGUUUGUAAGUAAGCUAGAUCUUCUGAAAGGGCAUUGGCAAGUGCCUUUAACCCAAAGAGCACAGGAAAUUGCAAGUUUUAUCGCUCCAUCUGGCUUGUUUUCCUAUACAGUCAUGGGUUUUGGUUUAAGAAAUGCUCCAGCAACAUUUCAACGGUUAAUGAAUCGUCUUGUCAGUGGUUUGAAGGGCUGCACGGUAUAUUUACAUGAUGUCGUUGGCUACAGCAAUACUUGGGAUGAACAUUUAUACCAAAUUCAGGCACUGUUUGAUCAUUUGUCUAAUAGGAACCUUACUUUAAAUUUAGCCAAGUGUGAUUUUGCUAAAGCUACUGUUACAUAUUUGGAAAAAGUUGUGGGACAGGGUCAAGUACGGCCUGUAAUGGCAAAAGUCACAGCAGUUUCUCAGUUUCCUACUACAAAGAAAGAACUCAUGAGAUUCUUAGGCCUUGUGGGUUACUAUCGUUGUUUCUGUCGAAACUUUUCCAGUGUUGUAGCUCCUUUAACAGAUUUGCUUAAAUCCAAAGUAAAAUUUGUUUGGUCUCAGUCUUGUCAGCAAGCUUUUGAUGAAGUUAAGGCCCUCCUUUGUUCAUCUCCUGUUGUCCUUGCUCCCAGGUUCGAUCAGCCAUUCAAGCUACAUGUUGAUGCUAGCCAUGUAGGAGCAGGAGCAAUGUUGCUACAGUCGGAUGACAAUGGAGUGGACUGCCCUGUUAGCUUCUUCUCUAAGAAGUUCAGUUCAUAUCAGCUGAAUUAUUCAGUUAUAGAAAAAGAAGCUCUUGCUUUGAUCCUGGCUUUACAACAUUUUCAAGUUUACAUUGAGUCUAGUUCUUCAGUCAUUGUGUAUUCGGAUCACAAUCCUUUAACCUUUCUAAAUUCUCUACAAAAUCCAAAUCAGAGGUUAAUGCGCUGGGCACCAUUUCUGCAACCAUAUCAUUUAGACAUCAGACAUAUUAAAGGCAAAGAGAAUGUGUUAGCGGACGCUCUGUCCCAUGCCCCUCUGUAAUCUGUUGUUCAUCCCAUCUCUAGUUUCUCCUCUCCUCCUCUUAAUUCACGCCUCGGCGCCAAGGCUGCUGAGUUGGAGUGGUUGAGCUGGAAGUUGGUGUUUUGAAUUCUGGGUCGGACAUCAUCUGAAGCAGCGUUUCUGGACACCUGUGGGGUCUUCAGGACUGGUGCGUGGGGUGCUGCGCCUCUGUACAGCCCCGAUGCCUGUUUCUUUUGCACAUCGAUAGGUUUGCCCAUCGGUGUCAAGGUACCUUUUAUCAGUCCUGUGGUUAUCUUGGAGUUGUGUCUGGGCUUCUUGCUGCGCCUCCUAUGUCCAGGUGUCCAUUUGUCCAUCCGCUGCUGGUGAUUCCGGAUGUCUGCUGCUGUCCCAGGGUCUGUCGUGUUGUGUCCUGGGUUCCUGGUUCCUAUGGUUGCCCUGCCUGGUCCCCCUGGUCCCUGUCCUUUGAGUAUGCUUUCUCUGGCUCGCCGCUGGAGGAAAUCCAGUGUUAUUGAAAGUGUAUGCUCUAAUUUGGAGACGGUCCCCUACAAGGGGCCCUUUUUUUGUGGGAGGGGGUGUGACGGCCCCAGGGCCUUUGCAGCUGCUCCUCUCCCAUCUCCCUCUGUGCAGGUGGGCUGUGCCGGUUGUGUGUGGCUAUGGCCCCUCUUCCUAAUCUGGGCUAUUUAGGCAGAUCUGGCACACCUGUUCGGAGUCUGCUCCUGCUCCCUGGCCACCAUGCUGUCUCCUUUUUGUUUAGUUUGAUUUAUCUACACAUCCACACACCACAUGCACUCCACCUUACACUUACACAUUUUAUUGUU
Molecule: long non-coding RNA, 2059 nt
Organism: Acanthochromis polyacanthus (spiny chromis)
Lineage: Eukaryota; Metazoa; Chordata; Actinopteri; Pomacentridae
Exons: 3
Source: RefSeq, a predicted model, not a curated record